This 371-nucleotide unclassified non-coding RNA is filed under the name soil metagenome. Its description in RNAcentral is "partial contains 5.8S ribosomal RNA, internal transcribed spacer 2, and large subunit ribosomal RNA". The stretch from base 1 to 120 matches the Rfam family "5.8S ribosomal RNA", at positions 35 to 154 of the family's 154-position model. The record is from RNAcentral.
GAUGAAGAACGUAGCGAAAUGCGAUAAGUAAUGUGAAUUGCAGAAUUCAGUGAAUCAUCGAAUCUUUGAACGCACAUUGCGCCCCCUGGAAUUCCGGGGGGCAUGCCUGUUCGAGCGUCUCAGGGACGAACCCUCGCGCGGGUGUACGCGCGGUCGUGGCUGCGGUGGCGUGCCCGAGGCGGCGGCCACCGCGCUGGAAUCCAUGGGCGGACGCCUGCCGCGUGGCCGAGCGUGAUAUGACGCAUUGGCGCUCGCACGCGGAGAGGCUGCCACCCCUGGCCCGUCUGUCGGGCGGGGGAGAGCAAGACACGUGAACUCCUCGAAUCAGGUAGGGAUACCCGCUGAACUUAAGCAUAUCAAUAAGCGGAGGA